Molecule: ribosomal RNA, 501 nt
Filed under: uncultured bacterium
Lineage: Bacteria
Description: partial 16S ribosomal RNA
Rfam family: Bacterial small subunit ribosomal RNA
Source: RNAcentral
AUUGAACGCUGGCGGCAGGCUUAACACAUGCAAGUCGAGCGGGGGAAGGUAGCUUGCUACCGGACCUAGCGGCGGACGGGUGAGUAAUGCUUAGGAAUCUGCCUAUUAGUGGGGGACAACAUCUCGAAAGGGAUGCUAAUACCGCAUACGUCCUACGGGAGAAAGCAGGGGAUCUUCGGACCUUGCGCUAAUAGAUGAGCCUAAGUCGGAUUAGCUAGUUGGUGGGGUAAAGGCCUACCAAGGCGACGAUCUGUAGCGGGUCUGAGAGGAUGAUCAGUGGAACUGGGACUGAGAGACGGCCCAGACUCCGACGGGAUGCAUCAGUGGGGAAUAGUGGGCGAUGGGGGGAACCCUGAUCCAGCCAUGCCGCGUGUGGGAAGAAGGCCUUAUGGUUAUAAAGCACUUUAAGCGAUGAGGAGGGUACUUUAGUUAAUACCUAGAGAUAGUCGACGUUACUCGAAGAAUAAGCACCGGCUAACUCUGUGCCAGCCGACGCAGUAA